AGCUGAAAGGUGGACUGCUGUCUUCUGAGGACAUUGUGUAUGAUUUCUUUCCCCUCUUUUAAGUCUACCAUCUACUGAGAAAUCACUUUUACUGGGAAUCCAAACAACUGGAAUUUAUUUCAUGCUCUAUAAUUUUAUGAGAAGCAACUGAAAAUAAAAAGGCUGAUACCAUGACUGUAUCCAUAAAAGGAACUUAGAGACUAUGGGAGCAUUUUUUCAUGAAUGAUGACAAUGGCACUCUACCAUAGUGAUCUUCCUCCAAAAUGCUCGUAGCCCUGUAUUAUCAUAAGGAAAAUACCUGAAAACUCCCAAUAGAAAGACUUCCUACAAAAUGCUUGAGCCAAUACUUCUAAAAUUGUGAAGGAUUUCUAAGAAUCAGUCAUAGUCAAGAGGAACUUCAGCAAGAUGACCACUAAAGGUAAUGUGGUAUGGUGGAUGGGACCUUAAAACAGAAAAAAGUACAUCAAGUAAGAACUAAGGAAUCCUGAAAAAAGUAUACACUUUAGUUAACAAUAAUGGUUGGUUCACUAUUUAUGCAUGUUAGCUAACGAUAAUAUUGGUUCAUUAAUUGUAACAAGUAGACCAUAUUAAUGUAAGAUGCUGAUAAUAGAAGAAUUUCAAUGUAGAGUAUAUGGGAAUUCUCUGUAGUAUGUUUACAGUUUUUCUCUCAAACUUCAAUUGUCCUAAAGUGAAAAGUAUAUUUUUUAAAAAAAUAGACUUUAGAAUGUCUUUGGUUUUGGUUUUGCUUUAUUUUCACGUUCCUGAGGCUCCCACUCUGAAACUUUAAAACAACGUUAAAAAGUCUGCUAAUAAGUAUAUAGAUCAAUCUCAGGUAAAAUAAAAAUUGAUGUUUCCAUAUCACACAUGCUUAAAAGAAUGAAAUAAAAUUUCCCAAAGUGCAGUGUAAGACGGUUACUUAAAUACUCAGAGUUGCCCUUCGUAGACUCUGAAAGAGAGAUUAGCAGGAACAUAGAUUGCUAAACUGCCUCACUGCACUGAUACUCCAUGAUUGACUUCCUGUGACAAAUAGUAAAUGAGAUUUUCUUUUUCAGAGACUACAAUGCCACAGUGACUAGUUUUUCUGCCCCAAGCAU
Long non-coding RNA from Canis lupus familiaris (dog), 1094 nucleotides. RefSeq lists it as uncharacterized. The transcript has 3 exons. The record is from RefSeq and is a predicted model, not a curated record. NCBI's taxonomy places the organism in Eukaryota, Metazoa, Chordata, Mammalia, Carnivora, Canidae.